UAGAGUUUGAUCCUGGCUCAGAUUGAACGCUGGCGGCAGGCCUAACACAUGCAAGUCGAACGGUAACAGAAAGCAGCUUGCUGCUUUGCUGACGAGUGGCGGACGGGUGAGUAAUGUCUGGGAAACUGCCUGAUGGAGGGGGAUAACUACUGGAAACGGUAGCUAAUACCGCAUAACGUCGCAAGACCAAAGAGGGGGACCUUCGGGCCUCUUGCCAUCGGAUGUGCCCAGAUGGGAUUAGCUAGUAGGUGGGGUAAUGGCUCACCUAGGCGACGAUCCCUAGCUGGUCUGAGAGGAUGACCAGCCACACUGGAACUGAGACACGGUCCAGACUCCUACGGGAGGCAGCAGUGGGGAAUAUUGCACAAUGGGCGCAAGCCUGAUGCAGCCAUGCCGCGUGUAUGAAGAAGGCCUUCGGGUUGUAAAGUACUUUCAGCGAGGAGGAAGGUGUUGUGGUUAAUAACCACAGCAAUUGACGUUACUCGCAGAAGAAGCACCGGCUAACUCCGUGCCAGCAGCCGCGGUAAUACGGAGGGUGCAAGCGUUAAUCGGAAUUACUGGGCGUAAAGCGCACGCAGGCGGUUUGUUAAGUCAGAUGUGAAAUCCCCGGGCUCAACCUGGGAACUGCAUUUGAAACUGGCAAGCUUGAGUCUCGUAGAGGGGGGUAGAAUUCCAGGUGUAGCGGUGAAAUGCGUAGAGAUCUGGAGGAAUACCGGUGGCGAAGGCGGCCCCCUGGACGAAGACUGACGCUCAGGUGCGAAAGCGUGGGGAGCAAACAG
This 779-nucleotide ribosomal RNA is filed under the name Salmonella enterica subsp. enterica serovar Blockley. Its description in RNAcentral is "bacterial SSU rRNA". It matches the Rfam family "Bacterial small subunit ribosomal RNA", at positions 1 to 775 of the family's 1533-position model. Lineage: Bacteria; Pseudomonadati; Pseudomonadota; Gammaproteobacteria; Enterobacterales; Enterobacteriaceae. The record is from RNAcentral.